RNAcentral lists this ribosomal RNA (324 nucleotides) under uncultured eukaryote. RNAcentral's name for it is "partial 18S ribosomal RNA". It matches the Rfam family "Eukaryotic small subunit ribosomal RNA", at positions 1470 to 1796 of the family's 1831-position model. The record is from RNAcentral.
CCCUUAGAUGUUCUGGGCCGCACGCGCGCUACACUGACGGAGUCAACGAGUUGUCCUGCAUCGGAAGGUGUGGGUAAUCUUUUGAAACUUCGUCGUGCUGGGGAUAGAUCUUUGCAAUUUUCGAUCUUGAACGAGGAAUUCCUAGUAAGCGUGAUUCAUCAGAUCGCGUUGAUUACGUCCCUGCCCUUUGUACACACCGCCCGUCGCUACUACCGAUUGAAUGGUUUAGUGAGGCCUCGGGACUGGCGCGCUCGAGUAGCAAUACACCUGCGCGCCGGGAACUUGGUCAAACUUGAUCGUUUAGAGGAAGUAAAAGUCGUANCA